CCUACGGGGGGCUGCAGUGGGGAAUAUUGCACAAUGGGCGCAAGCCUGAUGCAGCCAUGCCGCGUGUGUGAAGAAGGCCUUCGGGUUGUAAAGCACUUUCAGCGGGGAGGAAGGCGGUGAGGUUAAUAACCUCAUCGAUUGACGUUACCAGCAGAAGAAGCACCGGCUAACUCCGUGCCAGCAGCCGCGGUAAUACGGAGGGUGCAAGCGUUAAUCGGAAUUACUGGGCGUAAAGCGCACGCAGGCGGUCUGUCAAGUCGGAUGUGAAAUCCCCGGGCUCAACCUGGGAACUGCAUUCGAAACUGGCAGGCUAGAGUCUUGUAGAGGGGGGUAGAAUUCCAGGGGUAGCGGUGAAAUGCGUAGAGAUCUGGAGGAAUACCGGUGGCGAAGGCGGCCCCCUGGACAAAGACUGACGCUCAGGUGCGAAAGCGUGGGGAGCAAACAGGAUUAGAUACCCGUGUAGUC
RNAcentral lists this ribosomal RNA (465 nucleotides) under uncultured Klebsiella sp. RNAcentral describes it as "bacterial SSU rRNA". It matches the Rfam family "Bacterial small subunit ribosomal RNA", at positions 338 to 795 of the family's 1533-position model. The record is from RNAcentral. Lineage: Bacteria; Pseudomonadati; Pseudomonadota; Gammaproteobacteria; Enterobacterales; Enterobacteriaceae.